CAGUCGCCGCGGUAAUACGUAGGGUGCGAGCGUUAAUCGGAAUUACUGGGCGUAAAGCGUGCGCAGGCGGUUAUAUAAGACAGAUGUGAAAUCCCCGGGCUCAACCUGGGACCUGCAUUUGUGACUGUAUAGCUAGAGUACGGUAGAGGGGGAUGGAAUUCCGCGUGUAGCAGUGAAAUGCGUAGAUAUGCGGAGGAACACCGAUGGCGAAGGCAAUCCCCUGGACCUGUACUGACGCUCAUGCACGAAAGCGUGGGGAGCAAACAAGAUUAGAUACCCCAGUAGUCCCUGUCUCUUAUAC
This 301-nucleotide ribosomal RNA is filed under the name uncultured bacterium. RNAcentral describes it as "partial 16S ribosomal RNA". It matches the Rfam family "Bacterial small subunit ribosomal RNA", at positions 509 to 807 of the family's 1533-position model. The record is from RNAcentral.